GUGAGAAAGACAGACUCACAGAAGACAUCCUCUUAGACUGAGCGCACUUUAACAACUCCAUACUUGUCCUAUGACAAAUGCACCGCGCCUUCCUCCCCCUCUUCUCCUCUUGGGGGCGUCGAGGGCUUACCUAGACAAAGCAGCGUCAAGACCCAAGAGGCAGGGAGCGUCUCCAUCCUUCUUUCUCGGUGCAGCUUGCGGAGUGCGCGGCGGCCAGCGGGAGCAAGGUGCCUGUGGCUGAGUUGGAACCGAGCUGAUCCAGUCAAGGUCUUUGAGUGUCCGCACAUUUUGUUGUUGGAAAGCAAUACUGCAUUCUUUUCGUGGUGAAGACUUAAACAUUUGAAUGGAAAUCCUUGAAAAGCCUGCUCAGUCUUUCUACCCCGGCUCAUGAUGAAGGAGGCUUAAGACUAGUUAACUAUUGGAGAAGAUAAGGGGCGUGUUAAGCACAGUGCCUAGAAGAUGGAGUGGCCUAGAUGACCUGGCAUAGAUGAAGUGACAUAAACGGAGUGACAUAGAUCAAAUGGCAUAAAUCCAUAGUAGCAUAGAUGGUCUUCCAUUUCAGGAACAAAUCGUAGCUUAAAAAGUUGAUGAAGCCUUUUCUAUGGACUUUCGUUAUUGAAAACCUCUGGGUUCAUUCCAAAGGGAUAGCUGACUUUGUACUGGUCUUCCUUAGUUCCCCCUGACAAGAACAUCAUGGGGUUUCUAGAAAUAAAAACCAUUGAAAGGUGGGGCCUUUAAGACUUCAGUCCCAAAUAAACCCUCACUCUCAUCCUAAUCUGCACAACCUCCAGGGAACUUAGAGACAUGUGCUUGUUUCAGCAGCGACUGCCUCAGGUGGGUGCAUUUCACCAACUCGGAAUUCAUCUAGUUCUCUAGAUUUGAAGGGAGGUGCUAUUUGCCUGGUGGAGUGGCUGAAGUUCUCUGAAGGUUUUUGCUCUAAGGUGGGGAGUGAUAACUUCUAAGCACUUUACACAUUGGGAUUGAAAACUGCUGUACCUUAAGCAGGAAAGAGGCUAGUAAGUUAUGUCAGUCAAUCCCAUUCUUAGCAGCAUUCUCCAAAUAAGCUCAAACUCAUGGAUUUUCCAAUGUUUAAAAUACUCCAUUAAAGAUCUUUAUAAGAAGCCAAAGGUAGCAGGACAUUCUGCUCAUAAAGCCAGAAAUAAUGAAGAUAAGACAGGAUGAUUGGUUUAAAAUCAACGCCUCUCUGGUCUACAUAAUAAGUUUUAGCCUAACCCAGAUUUUAUAGUAAGACCUUGGGAAGACAGGCCCCUUGGUUUUGCAAACUUUAUAUGCCUCAGUAUGGGGGAACGCCAUGGCCAAGAAGUGGGAGUGGGUGUGUAGGGGAGUGGGGGGAGGAUCUGGGGGACUUUUGGGAUAGCAUUUGAAGUGUAAAUGAAGAAAAUACCUAAUUUAAUAAAAGAAAUAAGAUCCUUAUGAGAUUGAAUAAACUUGCCACUAAAAGCAAUAAAAUGAUCAUUAUUCAACCACUGUGAUUGUAUUUUCUUUUUUGAACACACACACACACUCUCUCUCUCUCUCUAAAAAUAUUACCU
Molecule: long non-coding RNA, 1553 nt
Organism: Mus musculus (house mouse)
Lineage: Eukaryota; Metazoa; Chordata; Mammalia; Rodentia; Muridae
Product: predicted gene, 19610
Exons: 3
Source: RefSeq, a predicted model, not a curated record